Molecule: long non-coding RNA, 1299 nt
Filed under: Equus caballus (horse)
Lineage: Eukaryota; Metazoa; Chordata; Mammalia; Perissodactyla; Equidae
Description: lncRNA (ENSECAG00000046088.1)
Source: RNAcentral
ACUGUCAGCUGGAUCACAAAGGAGAAUUUCCCCCCGCAUAUCUGAUACUCUUUGGUCACUGAAGUUCAGCUACUUUUCCUUAUCUGGAAUCCUUCAGUGGCUAUUUAUUCCCUUCCACCUGUGACUAAAUGGACCUUUAAUCAAUUUGCAUCGUUUAGAAGCAAAGCUACUCUGGAAAGGAUGGUGUUCCUGUGCACUUAGCGCUGGUGGAGAUAUACUGCAGCCUUCCAGGGAGCCGCCGGGUUCAUAAUGGAAGGCAUGACAGGCACUUUAUGACCCUGAAGCGCUGUGAUUACAAGCUCUGAGCCUGUGUGAGGCAGGUAGGGAAGAUCCAUAUGUCAGGACAGCACAGCCAGGCCCCUCGUUGGAGCACUGCUAUCAUUUGGCUGGAAGCUGCAGAGCAGUUCCAAAGAACCAGCUCGGGACAGUAAAUGACUCCCACAGUCAAACUGAGCAUGCUCACCUCUCUGGUUGCCACACAUCGAUGUGCAGGCUGGUCCCUGGAUCCCCAACAGGUCUGACUGGUGCAGUUACCUAGCUUGCGUGGGCUGGAGUGAAUUUGGAUUUCCCAGUCUUCCAGGUGAUUAACCUGAUCUGCUGUGUUCUCCUUUUCUCCAGUUACGGCAGACUGUGAUAUGCAGAGGGAAGCAACACUUCUAGGGAAGAAUGUGGUCCAGACCACGUGGAGGUGGAAAUCACCAAGGCCUUGACUCCUCCUUCCCACUCAUUCUUCCAUGUCCUCACCUGUGAACUGGGAGAAUUCGGAACUGAAGUAAGUAAAGAUGGUGGAGUUCUUGAAGACAGCGGAAUCACUGGCCAGGAGGAACUCACUUCAGCGAUGGAGAGGACACUGAUGGAAACGGCACCCGGGCUCAGCGGCAGGCAGGAGAUGGCGAGGCAGCUCAGAAAUACCCUCAGAAUACUUCUCAACAUACAGCAUAGUCAACUCACUCCAAUCAAUUGGUGCUGACCCAACAAAUGAAACCUGCCCGCCAUGUCUGGCUCGAGACAGUAAAAGCAAGAGUGUGGCCAAGAGUCACAUGCAUAAGAAUUCAUUACAACAAUACAUCAGCUCGAUUUAAUAAGACAUGCUUGAAUUACUGCUGACAAUUAUGAAAGAAUACAAAGAGUAUCUGGUGAGAAUAAUCAAAUGUUGAAUGUGUUGCCUUUGAUCAUUUGUUUGUUUUACUUUACAGCCUAAGUAAAGCUGAUUAAAAUCUACAAGUUGAUUAAAACAGUCUAUUUGUUUUAAAACUUGUUUAAAUAAUCUACUUGUUUUAAAAAAUAAAACAAGUCAAU